Molecule: ribosomal RNA, 482 nt
Filed under: uncultured bacterium
Lineage: Bacteria
Description: partial 16S ribosomal RNA
Rfam family: Bacterial small subunit ribosomal RNA
Source: RNAcentral
AGAGAACGUUGGCGGCGUGGAUUAGGCAUGCGAGUCGAGCGAGAACCGUAGCAAUACGGGGACAGCGGCGAAAGGGACAGUAAUAUGUAGGUACCUACCCUCGGGUCCGGGAUAGCUGCGGGAAACUGCAGGUAAUACCGGAUGACAUCUCCGGAUCAAAGGUGUGACUCCGCCCGGGGAGGGGCCUGCAUCCUAUUAGCUUGUUGGUGGGGUAACGGCCUACCAAGGCGACGAUGGGUAGCGGGUGUGAGAGCAUGACCCGCGUCAUUGGGACUGAGACACUGCCCAGACACCUACGGGUGGCUGCAGUCGAGAAUCUUCGGCAAUGGGGGCAACCCUGACCGAGCGACGCCGCGUGCGGGAUGAAGGCCUUCGGGUUGUAAACCGCUGUCGUAGGGGAGGAAAUGCAGGGGGGUUCUCCCCUCUGUUUGACCUAUUCUAGGAGGAAGGACGGGCUAAGUUCGUGCCAGCCGCCGCUGUAA